UUAUAUUGGAGCAGGCCAUUUGCAGAGCCUGCUAGCUUAGGGAAAGUGCACUUUUUACCCUUAGCUCUGUCGUAAGGUUCCAGGCAAAAUGUGUUUGCUCGCAUCUCCCGGUCCCUAACGAGUGGGUUUUCAUAUGUCAAAGAGCCACACACGGAUUAACGCAAUUGGAAGGAACUGUUCUGAAGAAGAGGCCCAAGAGGAAGUUGCCAUGGAGAUGAGGAGGCUAAACACUACUGUACUUGUGACCUCCGCCAGGCUGAUUUCUCCAAAUGACAGUGGAGGUCGUGGGGGCACACGGGGGAGCUGGUUCUGCCCAUCGCUGCUCUGCAUCCAGCCCUGGGUGCUAGGUGGGACAUCCAGCUGGGGACCACAGCUGAGGAACUGACUCCAACAAUGCCAGUCGCUUUCAGAGUUACUACAGUGAAAAUAAGGAUGCCCAUGAAUGUCUAAUUUAUAAAACCAAAAUCAGAGGGCCAGCUUACUUUUGGACUUUUAAUCUGAAAAGCAAACAGAAGCCAACAAGAUGGCAGGUACAGCUUUUCUUCUGGCUGUUUAGUACUAACCUUUCAAUUGCACGCACUGCUUUCUGAUUCUACUUCACAGUUAAAGCAAAAGGAGAUAAGUAACUUUCACUGAAAGCUAGAGCAGCAGAUUUGCCUUACAAAAAAAAAAAAACAUUCCUUAGUAUAACAGUGAGGUAUUAUACGUUAUUUACUCAUCCUUCAAAUGUUGCGUUCAUCUGUUUUUCCAUAUAUUUAUUAUGGAUCUGCUAACAUUCCUUCAUUACAUUGAUUAUGGGAAAGUAAAUGGGAAACUGACUGCAGUUUGACUCAUAAAAUCUUCUCCUUGAUUAUUCUUUAUUAUCUCUACACAAAACGAAAUACAUAUCUUACAUGAAUUUUAACAUAAUCAUACAACAAUAUAAACGUCUUGCUUAAAGUUGUUUGAAAGCUUGGUUGUACAUAUGAAAAAAGAUCCAAAUAUGAUCUGUACUUCAAAAAAAAUCCUCAGCUCUGUGGUUUAAACCAGUUCACUAGUUAUGGUAUCCAUAAGGUGGCUGGUUCAGGCAGCAGGUAUAUCACACAGGAACUGCUACUAAGCAAUUAAUUUUCUUUACUGGGAUUUGUUUUUUAUUUGUUUUUUUUAUUUUGGGUUUUUUUUUUCUUUUUUAUUUUUACAAAACACUUCCACUUUCAUGUUUCAGUGGUUAAUUGCACUUCGGAUUAAAAAAAAAUAAAGAUAAAAUUCAUCCUCCCA
RNAcentral lists this long non-coding RNA (1257 nucleotides) under Numida meleagris (helmeted guineafowl). Its description in RNAcentral is "lncRNA (ENSNMEG00000007269.1)". The record is from RNAcentral. Lineage: Eukaryota; Metazoa; Chordata; Aves; Galliformes; Numididae.